GCCAUUGUGGUGCAGUGGUUUGAGUACUGGACUAUGAUUCUGGAGACCAGGGUUUCAAUCCCCACUCAGCAAUGGAA
This 77-nucleotide transfer RNA is filed under the name Phrynosoma platyrhinos (Desert horned lizard). Its description in RNAcentral is "tRNA-OTHER". The record is from RNAcentral. Lineage: Eukaryota; Metazoa; Chordata; Lepidosauria; Squamata; Phrynosomatidae.